RNAcentral lists this ribosomal RNA (186 nucleotides) under Triticum aestivum (bread wheat). Its description in RNAcentral is "partial small subunit ribosomal RNA". Lineage: Eukaryota; Viridiplantae; Streptophyta; Magnoliopsida; Poales; Poaceae. The record is from RNAcentral.
AAACAUGCAAGGCGUAAUUUUGACACCAUUAAUGUUCUGCUGCACUGGAGAAUUUGGAAGGAGAGGAAUGCUACGAUUUUUGAGCAGGUGGCUAGCAGUCCGGGCAGGGUGCUUGAUCUUAUCAGAGAAGACAUUGGAGCUUGGAGGGCGGCUGGGUGUGUGGUUGAUGCCGCUGACCACAUUUGA